This 67-nucleotide small RNA is filed under the name Xanthomonas vasicola. RNAcentral's name for it is "sX9 sRNA". It matches the Rfam family "Xanthomonas sRNA sX9". Lineage: Bacteria; Pseudomonadati; Pseudomonadota; Gammaproteobacteria; Lysobacterales; Lysobacteraceae. The record is from RNAcentral.
AUGUACCACUCGUACACUCCGGUUCCUGUGCGCCGCCCGCACCCACCUGACGACUGCUUCGCCCGCC